This 490-nucleotide ribosomal RNA is filed under the name Cryptosporidium sp. RNAcentral describes it as "SSU rRNA". It matches the Rfam family "Eukaryotic small subunit ribosomal RNA", at positions 514 to 1024 of the family's 1831-position model. The record is from RNAcentral. Lineage: Eukaryota; Apicomplexa; Conoidasida; Eucoccidiorida; Cryptosporidiidae.
AUGAGUUAAGUAUAAACCCCUUUACAAGUAUCAAUUGGAGGGCAAGUCUGGUGCCAGCAGCCGCGGUAAUUCCAGCUCCAAUAGCGUAUAUUAAAGUUGUUGCAGUUAAAAAGCUCGUAGUUGGAUUUCUGUUAAUAAUUUAUAUUAAAUAUUUUAAAGAUAUUGAUAUAAUAUUAACAUAAUUCAUAUCAUUAUAUAUUUAUAAUGUAUGAAAUUUUACUUUGAGAAAAUUAGAGUGCUUAAAGCAGGUAUAUUGCCUUGAAUACUUCAGCAUGGAAUAAUAAUAAGAGAUUUUUAUCUUUCUUUUUUAUUGGUUCUAAGAUAGAAAUAAUGAUUAAUAGGGACAGUUGGGGGCAUUUGUAUUUAACAGUUAGAGGUGAAAUUCUUAGAUUUGUUAAAGACAAACUAAUGCGAAAGCAUUUGCCAAGGAUGUUUUCAUUAAUCAAGAACGAAAGUUAGGGGAUCGAAGACGAUCAGAUACCGUCGUAGU